Molecule: long non-coding RNA, 1737 nt
Filed under: Sus scrofa (pig)
Lineage: Eukaryota; Metazoa; Chordata; Mammalia; Artiodactyla; Suidae
Description: lncRNA (ENSSSCG00045028047.1)
Source: RNAcentral
CUUUUUUUUUUCUUUUUUUUUUUUUUUUUUUUAUCUUUUCUAGGGCCACACCUGCGGCAUAUGGAGGUUCCCAGGCUAGGAGUCUAAUCUGCCGCUGGCCUAUGCCACAGCCACAGGAACAUGGUAUCCGAGCCGCAUCUGCGACCUACACCACAGCUCACGGCAACAUGGGAUCCUUAACCCACUGAGCGAGGCCAGGAAUUGAACCCUCAACUUCAUGGUUCCUAGUCGGAUUCGUUAACCACUAAGCCAUGGCAGGAGCUCCCCAAUCAUUUUUUAAGGUGGUUGUUCCAUUUUACCUUCCCACCAGCAAUACAUAAUAAUUUCAAUUGCUUUACAUCCUCAUCAGAAUUUGGGGUUGUCAGUCUUAAUUUUAGAGAUUCAAGUUAAUGUGUAGUUUUAUCUCAUUGUGAGUUGAAUUCACAUUUCUCUGUUGACUAACGUUAUUGAGCAUUGUUUCAUGUGCUUAGCAACCAUUUGUAUAUACUUUUUUUUUAACUUUUAAAAAUUUUUUUGCAUUUUAGGGCCAUGGAUCAGCAUACGGAAGUUCCCAGGCAAGGGGUCUGAUUGGAGCUGCAGCCGCAGGCCUAUAUCAUAGCCGUAGCAACACCGCAUCUGAGCCACAUUAUAUCCUGGAUAUCAUGAGCUUUAUACUGUUGAGAACAUGAAGGAUGUCUGCAAUGCCAGAUCCUUAGCCCACCGAGCAAGGCCAGGGAUUGAACCCACAUCUUUGUGGAUAUUAGUCAGAUUCAUAACCUGCUAAGUUACUGGAGGAACUACCUGAAAACACUCUUUUGUGAUGUGUCUAUCAACUCUUCGGUUCCUACUAUAUUGCACAAUUUGUCCUCUCAUAUAUUGUUAAGAGUUGUACACCCAUACAGAAUAUAUAAAUCACUCUUAAAGCUAUUUUAUGUACUGUUUGGAUAUUUUUAUUUAAUCUGUAGUUUCUAUUUUCAGUUUCUUAAUGAUGUCUUUCAAAGAGUGGCUGUUUUCACCUUUUUUUUUCCUAUGGCCACACCCAAGGCAUAUGGAAAUUCCCAGGCUAGGGGUCUAAUUGGACUGCAGCUGCGGGCCUACCCCACAGCCACAGCACCACGAUAUAUGAGCCACAGUACAUCCUGGAUAUCAUGAAGUUUAUAUUGUUGAGAAUAUAAAGAAUGUCUGCAACACUGGAUCUUUAACCCACUGAGUAAGGCCAGGGAUUGAACCUUCAUCCACAUGGAUACUAGUUGGGUUCAUUAUUGCUGGGCUACAGCGAGCACUCCAAGAGUGGCUGUUUUAAUAAUGAUAAACUCCAACAUAUCAGUGACUUUUAUGCUUUCGAUACUAACAAAAAACUUUGCUUACCCAAAGUCAUAAGGAUAUUUUAUCUACUUGUUCUUCUAGCUUUAGCAUUUAUGUUUUAUUGACAUACAUUUCAAGUUAAUUUUUGUGUACAACAUGAAGUAAAAGUCAACAUUCAUUUUUUUCCUUAUGUUUUUACAGACCCAGCACGGUUUGUUUAAAAGACAGCAUUUUCUCUACUGAUAUUUAUUGGCUGCUGGGCCUGUUUCUAUUGACUGAUUUUUGCUCUAAUUAUAGGUCUCAUUUUCCUAAUUUUUUUAUGUAGUCAUUAUAUUUUAUCCUGGGUAUCAGGAUAAAAUAUAUAUUUAUAUUGUUGAGAAUCUUGAUUUUGUUGUCUUCCUUUAAGGAGUCCUAUCCUAAAUUAAGUUACUUGCUCUUAGGUCUGAUCCUUUC